AACGAACGCUGGCGGCAUGCCUAACACAUGCAAGUCGAACGAGAGCUUCGGGUCUAGUGGCGCCCGGGUGCGUAACGCGUGGGAACCUGCCCUUAGGUUUGGCCUACCUCUCCGACUGGGGUGCUAAUACUGGAUCAUGUCUUCGGACCAAAGAUUUAUCGCAUUUGGAUGGGCACGCGUUGGAUUAGCUAGUUGGUAGGGUAAAAGCCUACCACGGCGUCGAUCCAUAGCUGGUCAGAGAGGCUGCUCCGCCACACUGGGACUGAGACACAGCCCAGACUCCUACGCAAGGCAGCAGAGGAUAAUAUUGGACAAUGGGCGAAAGCCUGAUCCAGCAAGGCCGCGUGAGUGAUGAAGGCCUUAGGGAUGUAAAGCUCUUUUACCCGUGAUGAUAAUGACGGUACCGGGAGAAUAAGCACCGGCUAACUCCGUG
Molecule: ribosomal RNA, 433 nt
Filed under: uncultured bacterium
Lineage: Bacteria
Description: partial 16S ribosomal RNA
Rfam family: Bacterial small subunit ribosomal RNA
Source: RNAcentral